UGGAUGGGGACACGUCUUGAGACGUGUGUC
Molecule: non-coding RNA, 30 nt
Filed under: Rattus norvegicus (Norway rat)
Lineage: Eukaryota; Metazoa; Chordata; Mammalia; Rodentia; Muridae
Source: RNAcentral